This 2009-nucleotide long non-coding RNA is filed under the name Homo sapiens (human). Its description in RNAcentral is "HSALNT0348339". The record is from RNAcentral. Lineage: Eukaryota; Metazoa; Chordata; Mammalia; Primates; Hominidae.
GUGAGUCUCCUGCAUCAGCCUACCAAGUAGCUGGGAUUACAGCCACGGAAGCCCUAGUCUGGCAGGAAAGAAGAGUCAUUAGGCAUCAUCUGGCAACUUGGCUUGGAGAAGUCAGAUCAGUCACCAAGAGUCUGGUGGGGCUGCAGCAAUGGCUAGAAAGAACCAGUGACAUGAUUGCCAGUAGAGACGGGGUUUCACCUUGUUAGCCAGGAUGGUCUCGAUCUCCUGACCUCAUGAUCCACCCGCCUCGGCCUCCCAAAGUGCUGGGAUUACAGGCGUGAGCCACCGCGCCCGGCCUCAACUAUCUAUUCUUAACUACCAACUUCAAGAUCUGCAAAACGGUUCAGUAAAAAUGAGUAAGGUUAUGAAAACAGUCAUAAACAGGGUAGGGCCAGGAAAGGUAGUAAUUAUACUCCUGAAGCUUUAGAUUAUAGCUAAUUAUGGUAGAAAUACAAAAUCAAAGCUUUAAUGCCAGAGUUCAAACACAAUUGCCUAAUUAAAACUGAGUUAUGUAUUGACUGAUCGUGAUAAGAUACGGCAAAAAAAAAAUGCAUUUAGGAAGGCCUUCACAAUUGUAUGUGAAGAGUGGAUAAUUUUGGCACUUCUAUAAACUGCUGGUGGGUGUGCACCUUAGAGAAGCCUUGAUUGAGGAAUUACAUGUUUGGGAAUCUACCAUUCAGAAUUCAGAAUUACUUGAACGUGAGUGUGAGAAUAAUGUAUAUGAGAAUAUUUAUUUCAAUCCUGUUUUUCCCAUGGAAGGUUGGAUUCAAAUUGAAAAUCCAUUAAAAGGAACUUGAUUGAAAAAAAUUAAGGUUCAUGAGACACUAUGCAGCCUUUAAAUAAAAUGAAGGAAAAGGGGAUGCAACUGCACUAAUCAUAUAGUAUAAUCUCACUGUUGGAAAAAACAACAACACGUACACAUAUAUAUCAAUGUCAAUAUACACAUAAUAAUGUCUGGAAGAAUAUGUUCCAAGUAAAUAGUAGAGCUCAGUAUUGGGGACGACAAUGAGUGGCACAGAAGAUUGACAUGUUAGCUUAUACGCCUACAUAAUUCUGUUAAAUUUUAAAAAUAGUAGUUAUGUAUUACUUUCACAAUUAAAAUUACAAACACAUUUUUUUCAAAAUAAAUAUUUUAAAUUCUAGGUCCUUAACUUAGUAACUGACAAAUUAAGUAAAAGCCUCAGAAUUAAAGUUUUACAUACCUGCAACUUCUAAUUGGCUUCUAGGAAAGAACAUAUGAAAUCUACUUUUCAUGCCAAUCAAGUUCUGCCCCUCCCACGCACAAGGGGGAAUUUGUGCUGGGUGUGAAUUGACAUAUUUCACUUGCUAACACUGAAGCAUUUGGCUUUGAUUAGAAUCCAACUUAAAUAUUUACUUUAUAUUCACAAAAUAAUGAGAAAUGAAAUGACACUCUGGAGAUUAAAAUGCAUAUUCUUGAACAGAGAGGGGGAGGAUUAUAACACAUGACUGAAUACAAUCACUGGAUUUAAAAAACACAGAACAAUUCCUGUUGAAUUAAAGCCCCACAUACCAGUUCCCUAACUAAAGCUAUAGGGGGAAAAUCAUAGCCAAAGCUUUUUCCAUAAAUACAGGAUAGGGACCUAACUAGUUCCAUUAUAGAAAAAAGGCAUAUUUUUAAAAUAUUUUUUUCAGUAGAGGAGUAAGUGGAGAUAUGCUAUCAUACUUUAGAACUUGAAGUACUUUCAAGGAAAAACAGAGGAUAACACAAUAUUCCUUAAUGACAAUAGGCAGGCAACAUAGCAAAUAAAGAAGAACCACUUAGUGUUUUUAUCUUAAAAGCCCUUAUAACAGUUUGCUUUGUCAUCAGCUGUGGCCUACCCAGGCAAAGUUAAGUGAAAAACAAAAAAUAGAUAUAAAUGAAUGAUUUGUGGAAAUAAUUACUUUGGCCUGACAUAGCUAGACAUUUUAGGGAAAUGGGUCUGCUACCUUAAUGAAAUUAUCAAGAUAAUCUUGUGUUCUCCAUUUUAUCUUUUCACUUCACUGACCAG